Molecule: non-coding RNA, 74 nt
Organism: Caerostris darwini
Lineage: Eukaryota; Metazoa; Arthropoda; Arachnida; Araneae; Araneidae
Source: the annotation of a GenBank genome assembly
GACCUCGUGGCCUAAUGGAUAAGGCAUCGGUCUCCUAAACCGGGCUUGCGGGUUCGAAUCCCGCCGAGGGUACA